This is a long non-coding RNA of Bos taurus (domestic cattle), 2027 nucleotides long. The record is from Ensembl. NCBI's taxonomy places the organism in Eukaryota, Metazoa, Chordata, Mammalia, Artiodactyla, Bovidae.
GUGAUAUUGGUUCAGAGGGGUUGGGGGGGCUGAAAGAUUGAGUUAAUUAUGUGGCUUGUGAUUCCAUUUAUCAAGCCUGUGUAAUGAAACCCCAAGAAAAACUCAGGACACUGAGGCUCGAGUGAAGUCCUGUCUAGUGAACACAUACAUGUGCUGGGUGGGCGAUGUACUCUGGAAAGGAAACAGGAGCUCCUAGUGUGGGACCCUCCUGGACUUUUCCCUAUGUGCCUUUUCAGUUGGCUGGUCCUGAUUUUUGUGUGUGUGCACGCUAAGUCACUUCAGUCCUGUCUAACUCUUUGCAACCCCAUGGACUGUAGCCGGUCAGGCUCCUCUGUCCAUGGGAUUCUCCAGGCAAGAAUACUGGAGUGGGUUGCCAUGCCCUCCUCCAAGGAAUAUUCCAAACCCAGGAAUUGAACCUGCAUCUCUUAUAUGUCUCCUACAUUGGCAGGCAGGUUCUUUACCACUAAUGCCGCCUGAUUUGUAUCCUUUAUAAUAAAAUUGAAAUCGUUAAGUCUAGUACUUGCCUGAGUUCUGAGUCACUCUAGUGAAUUAUCAACCUGAGCGGGUAAUGGGAUCCCCCAAAUACCUAGCUGGUUAUUCAGAAAUCUGGGUGGCUUGAGGACCGCCUCCACCCCCAUCCCAAUGCAAAUCUGUGGCUUGCUUGUGGUACAAAGGCAGUCUCAUCGGAGACUGUGCCCCUAGCCUGCAGAGUCUGAGCUAACCCAGAUCCCAUAUUCUGGGAUGGGAGUUACAUUGCAGGAAUGCAGAUGUGAAAAGCAAAGAGGAAGCCACACUCCCCUGAGGCUGCCAUGGUAGCAAGCGCUGGAGAUGAGGAAAUCUCCAAGGGCAAAAUGCACCUUUACAGACCUCACCUGAUCUUGCAAGCAGGACAUGUUCCUCUACUGCCAACGUGAGAGGAGCUGGGCUUCAGCUCAAAUUCGCAUAAUGAAGUAUGCAAAUUUCCUCAGGCCCUGUAGGUACAAAUGAGGUCACAUUCAUGACCUUGUUUCUCAAGUUCUUGCCAGCAUCCUCCCCUGCAAAGUGCCUGUGCCCCAUGAGAAUUUCUGGGAGCGCCUGGGGGGUGUACUCAUGAACACGCAAAGGUCUACUGGAUGCUGUGCUUCCACCGGACCACACUGUGGUAGAUGUCUUCCACUUGCCCCUCCAGACCACCUCCCCACCCUCCGGCCAUGCCCAGUGUCCUGCAAUGCUGACCUUUGUGAAUGGGCUCAUCCAAGGCUACUUUGCCCUGGCUUCUGGUCAGGUUCAGCCAAUGGAAGGCACUGGGAGCAGGAAGUUAUUGCUUCCUCGAACUUGCAGUGAGUUGUCUAAUUCUCCUAACAAAGGCUGCAGCUCUGACCAGGUGGCCGUAUUCUAACCACUUCAGCACUUGUGCCUUCAGGUCUAGGAGAGAUGAAGCCUGCUCACCCUGGGAUUCCUCACCACUUGAGCUGACCUGCAUCAGUUGUCACUGGAUCUCCCUCCCCUUCUGGGCUCUGGCUGACUUCAGCCCACAGCAGACACCAGCAGGAAAUGGAGGGGAGUUGGAAAGCACCAGCAGAGUGCUGACUAUUCUAACGCCCUUACCAGUGGACGAUGGCUUGGCAGCUGUAACCUGGUUCCGACACGGAAGGCCCCAGCCGCUUUUCAGCAACCCCAUCCUUCAGCUACAGGCCUCUCAGGGUUCUUUUCACCACUUCCUUUCCCGGUCCCUUCAAGCUGACAGUGCUGAUGGUGCUCCACGUUUCUAUCCUGGAGAUGCUGCAUCAUCCUUUUUGUUUUCCUUUCAUCUCCUCCAUGUGUCUAAAAUUCUUCUGUUUAUUAUGUUCUCUCCAAUAACACAGCUGUAACUCUGUUGCCAUCUCUCUCUUGCUGGGACUCUGAUGACACCAUGAGUCAAGAAGGGGAGUUGUCUCCCUGCUCCACCUCCCACUCUGGCUCUGGCAGGAAGUGGAUGAAGAACUAGAAGGUCUUUGAGAUAAACAUUAUACACAAGGUAUCCAAAAUCGAGAUCACCAGGAUUCUUU